CAUCAUUUCUACAUUGAAUUCGUACACCUUCAAUUCACAUUAUUUAAUUAAUAUUUUAUUAUGUAGUAAAUUGACAAUUAGAUUACCUGAGAUGCCAUAUCGAUAAUUACAUAUUAUGAUGUGCUGAUCGUAUUGCAUGAUUUGCCACAACAAAUUCUGUGAGAGUUACAUCUGCCGUUCCACCAGAUUCAAGAGGUAUGGCAUUCUGACGAAAAUGUUCAAGCAUAUCAUAUAUAGCAGGAAAACAAAGAUGCUGAACACGACAAUGUCCUUGAUCAUUUAAUGUCAUACGUAAAUGCUAUAACAAAGAUUACAAAAUAAAUUAUUUUAAAUAGUUUAAAA
This is a long non-coding RNA of Apis laboriosa (Himalayan honeybee), 342 nucleotides long. RefSeq lists it as uncharacterized. The record is from RefSeq and is a predicted model, not a curated record. Lineage: Eukaryota; Metazoa; Arthropoda; Insecta; Hymenoptera; Apidae. The transcript has 2 exons.